GGUUGUGGCUCAGUGGUAGAGUUUUUGCCUAGCACAUGCAGGGUCCUGGGUUCAAUCCUCAGCACCA
RNAcentral lists this transfer RNA (67 nucleotides) under Marmota monax (woodchuck). RNAcentral's name for it is "tRNA.Ala". Lineage: Eukaryota; Metazoa; Chordata; Mammalia; Rodentia; Sciuridae. The record is from RNAcentral.